AACGCACAUUGCGCCUCUCUUAACAGAGAGGCAUGCCUGUCUGAGCGUCAAUUAAAUCAAUAAGCCUGAAUGGGUUUGUGUUGGGCUUCGCCUGUUGCGGCGUUGCCUCAAAGUCAUUGGUCUUUUGAGCGGAUGAGAUCCAUUAGGACUGACCGUUCAGGGACCUUAACCCUCUGACUUGACCUCAGAUCAGGUAGGGACACCGCCUGAACUUAA
This 216-nucleotide unclassified non-coding RNA is filed under the name uncultured fungus. RNAcentral describes it as "sequence contains ITS2". The record is from RNAcentral. Lineage: Eukaryota; Fungi.